This 533-nucleotide ribosomal RNA is filed under the name Bifidobacterium pseudocatenulatum. Its description in RNAcentral is "bacterial SSU rRNA". It matches the Rfam family "Bacterial small subunit ribosomal RNA", at positions 157 to 702 of the family's 1533-position model. The record is from RNAcentral. Lineage: Bacteria; Bacillati; Actinomycetota; Actinomycetes; Bifidobacteriales; Bifidobacteriaceae.
CGGGUGGUAAUGCCGGAUGCUCCGACUCCUCGCAUGGGGUGUCGGGAAAGAUUUCAUCGGUAUGGGAUGGGGUCGCGUCCUAUCAGGUAGUCGGCGGGGUAACGGCCCACCGAGCCUACGACGGGUAGCCGGCCUGAGAGGGCGACCGGCCACAUUGGGACUGAGAUACGGCCCAGACUCCUACGGGAGGCAGCAGUGGGGAAUAUUGCACAAUGGGCGCAAGCCUGAUGCAGCGACGCCGCGUGCGGGAUGACGGCCUUCGGGUUGUAAACCGCUUUUGAUCGGGAGCAAGCCUUCGGGUGAGUGUACCUUUCGAAUAAGCACCGGCUAACUACGUGCCAGCAGCCGCGGUAAUACGUAGGGUGCAAGCGUUAUCCGGAAUUAUUGGGCGUAAAGGGCUCGUAGGCGGUUCGUCGCGUCCGGUGUGAAAGUCCAUCGCUUAACGGUGGAUCUGCGCCGGGUACGGGCGGGCUGGAGUGCGGUAGGGGAGACUGGAAUUCCCGGUGUAACGGUGGAAUGUGUAGAUAUCGGAA